GAAUCAGUUGGUCGACAGACAUAAACACCAUUUGCAGGUGAAAUUGGAAUACCAUUACAUAGAUAUGGGAAGUUGACGAUGGAGAAACGUGCGACACUGAUGAUAGAUAAACAGGUACACACGGAAAACGUCUGAGAAAUUAGUCAUCAUUCACCAACAGGACAGUCUUGUCAGACAUCUAAGUAAUUUCAGCAACACCAGCUUUCAGCAUCUUAAGUACUGUCUCUGUCAAAUAUGAAGGUACUUUGGAGGUACACGAGGGUCAUCAGCAAAUCCGACAUCCAAUGGUUUCAGGUGAACGGUUUUCUUACGAGCAGCAACAAUUUCACUUGCCAUUACUUUUUGUGCUGAAAGAGACCGUGUUGGCAUGUCAGAUUCACAGCGUCUCGAAGCAUAGUUGGUGUUGAAAGAGGUUCCAGUUGAUAUUGGACUUUCUUUAGACCGAAGACGCCUGUUUGCAAUGACACGCUGGGAAUGUAUCAGAGAUGAAUUUUCAUGUGUGCAUCUGGUAUCCACUUUAUAUUGUUCCGUCUGUCUUGCUUCAGAGGAAUGGAAUGGGAUUCUUUCAUGAACUAAUUGCUUUCUUGAGGCAUCAAUCAUUCCUGUUUGUUUGUCUGGAGGACGUUCAUCUGUCUCCGGAUCCCCAUAUCCAGAAAAACUUGCUGCUGAAUAACUAGUGCCUUUGUUUUCAUUGUUGAUGCUAUAGUAACUUCUUUCUGAAUUUUCAACAGAGGAUUGUUCGAACGUGUGAAAUUCAGCCACAUCAACAUCACUUAGUGAUAAAGCUUCUAAUGAUGCCUGUACGUCUCGCGAGGUAGCCAGUGUACACCUAGUAGUGUCUUGCACCUGGUCCAUUAAUUCAGUUUCGACAUGUCUUUCUGAUGCCCAUAACUUCCACAAAUGCCCCCCUUCGUCAUCACCUCUUACUUUUAUACUCUUUUGAGCACGACACUUUCCUCGGAAAAUGGGACAGUUACGAUAAAACUUCAUUAUCUUAACAGGAAUUUUAUUACAUUUUCCAAAUUUUUGAAGUUUGUUGAAUAUCCAUAGUCGGCGAUUGUCUGCAGUCACCCAUAAUCCCUUAUCUUUUCUAACUCUGAUUAUUGGGAUAUCGUUUAUAGUGCAGGCACCAGAUAAAAUGUCGUCAAGUGUUUUACCAAUGCGUUUAUUGCGAUGACUGGUGGUUUUCCCAAAGUAAUUAGAGAUGGAAUCCUGGCUGUAGUAUAUAUCUGAUGGUGCUAGCUGUUGAUAUGAUUCCAUAUUCUAGUUGAUCAAAAUUUGAUUUUGAAAAAGAAACCAGUUUUUCCAAGAAGUGCGAAUAUGCAUGCGCAAACAGACACCGACGAUUUCAAAAAAUGAUCAAAUUUACAUGUAGUCAACAUUUAAACUACCGGUAUGUCGACAUCGCCUUAACUCCCUUAAUAAAUUCAAAAUAACCUAAUAUUAUGUGUACAGUUGAUUCCCUGAUACAUUUCCUCUUGUGAUAGGAUGAACUCUAGUAUUAAAAUGAAAGUGAAAUUUCUA
This is a long non-coding RNA of Ostrea edulis (European flat oyster), 1524 nucleotides long. RefSeq lists it as uncharacterized. The transcript has 2 exons. NCBI's taxonomy places the organism in Eukaryota, Metazoa, Mollusca, Bivalvia, Ostreida, Ostreidae. The record is from RefSeq and is a predicted model, not a curated record.